UACGGAGGAUCCAAGCGUUAUCCGGAAUCAUUGGGUUUAAAGGGUCCGUAGGUGGAUAAUUAAGUCAGAGGUGAAAGUUUGCAGCUCAACUGUAAAUGAUCCUUUGAUACUGGUUAUCUUGAAUUAUUAUGAAGUAGUUAGAAUAUGUAGUGUAGCGGUGAAAUGCAUAGAUAUUACAUAGAAUACCAAUUGCGAAGGCA
RNAcentral lists this ribosomal RNA (200 nucleotides) under uncultured bacterium. RNAcentral's name for it is "partial 16S ribosomal RNA". It matches the Rfam family "Bacterial small subunit ribosomal RNA", at positions 524 to 723 of the family's 1533-position model. The record is from RNAcentral.